UGGGUUCAGAACGUCGUGAGACAGUUCGGUCCCUAUCCUAUGCGGGCGCAGGAUGUUUGAGAAGAGUCGCUCUUAGUACGAGAGGACCGGAGCGAACGAACCUCUAGUGUACCAGUUGUCACGCCAGUGGCAGCGCUGGGUAGCUAUGUUCGGACGUGAUAAGCGCUGAAAGCAUCUAAGCGCGAAACACUCUUCAAGAUGAGACAUCCCUCUCCGAGUAAUCGGAGCUAAAGACCCCUGGGAGAUUACCAGGUUGAUAGGCUGCAGGUGUAAGCCCAGCAAUGGGUUGAGCCGAGCAGUACUAAUAGGUCGUGAGACUUAACCUU
RNAcentral lists this ribosomal RNA (326 nucleotides) under Ignavibacteria bacterium. RNAcentral describes it as "partial 23S ribosomal RNA". It matches the Rfam family "Bacterial large subunit ribosomal RNA", at positions 2606 to 2925 of the family's 2925-position model. Lineage: Bacteria; Pseudomonadati; Ignavibacteriota; Ignavibacteria. The record is from RNAcentral.